Molecule: non-coding RNA, 383 nt
Organism: Polypterus senegalus (gray bichir)
Lineage: Eukaryota; Metazoa; Chordata; Cladistia; Polypteriformes; Polypteridae
Source: the annotation of a RefSeq genome assembly
UGUUGCAAAGAUGUUACUUUUAUUGCUCUGUGUUUGGACGGUCAUUAGAUUUUCAGGUUCAGCAUCUCCAAAAAUCUUUCAAAAUCCACUUUUCAUAGCGAAGUUUCCAGGACAACCAGUUGAGUUUGACUGUGCAUUGGAAGGCACUAGCAACCCCAAUCUUUACUGGUACAGACAGGAUGCUUCAGGAAUGCUGGAGCUGCUUCUCUACUCAAUUAGUACAGGCUCAGUAGAAAACAACGGAUAUAAGAAUUUCACAGCAGAGAGGCCAGAGGAUCUGAAAUUUAAACUGAAAAUCAAGAGUGUACUUGCCAAUCAUACAGCAGUGUACUAUUGUGCAUGGAGUAAGACACAGUGACAUAAGCAUAUGUAGGCUCCAUUCA